GGUUAAGACACCGCCCUUUCACGGCGGGUUCACGAGUUCGAAUCUCGUCCGGGUCACCA
This 59-nucleotide transfer RNA is filed under the name Oscillospiraceae bacterium. RNAcentral's name for it is "tRNA-Ser". It matches the Rfam family "tRNA", at positions 17 to 71 of the family's 71-position model. From Rfam's summary of the family: Transfer RNA (tRNA) molecules are approximately 80 nucleotides in length. Their secondary structure includes four short double-helical elements and three loops (D, anti-codon, and T loops). Further hydrogen bonds mediate the characteristic L-shaped molecular structure. tRNAs have two regions of fundamental functional importance: the anti-codon, which is responsible for specific mRNA codon recognition, and the 3' end, to which the tRNAs corresponding amino acid is attached (by aminoacyl-tRNA synthetases). tRNAs cope with the degeneracy of the genetic code in two manners: having more than one tRNA (with a specific anti-codon) for a particular amino acid; and 'wobble' base-pairing, i.e. permitting non-standard base-pairing at the 3rd anti-codon position. Lineage: Bacteria; Bacillati; Bacillota; Clostridia; Eubacteriales; Oscillospiraceae. The record is from RNAcentral.